This 635-nucleotide ribosomal RNA is filed under the name uncultured Allobrachymonas sp. RNAcentral describes it as "bacterial SSU rRNA". It matches the Rfam family "Bacterial small subunit ribosomal RNA", at positions 897 to 1533 of the family's 1533-position model. Lineage: Bacteria; Pseudomonadati; Pseudomonadota; Betaproteobacteria; Burkholderiales; Comamonadaceae. The record is from RNAcentral.
AAACUUAAAUGAAUUGACGGGGACCCGCACAAGCGGUGGAUGAUGUGGUUUAAUUCGAUGCAACGCGAAAAACCUUACCCACCUUUGACAUGGCAGGAAUCCUGAAGAGAUUCGGGAGUGCUCGAAAGAGAACCUGCACACAGGUGCUGCAUGGCUGUCGUCAGCUCGUGUCGUGAGAUGUUGGGUUAAGUCCCGCAACGAGCGCAACCCUUGCCAUUAGUUGCUACGAAAGGGCACUCUAAUGGGACUGCCGGUGACAAACCGGAGGAAGGUGGGGAUGACGUCAAGUCCUCAUGGCCCUUAUAGGUGGGGCUACACACGUCAUACAAUGGCCGGUACAGAGGGUAGCCAACCCGCGAGGGGGAGCCAAUCCCGCAAAGCCGGUCGUAGUCCGGAUCGCAGUCUGCAACUCGACUGCGUGAAGUCGGAAUCGCUAGUAAUCGCGGAUCAGAAUGUCGCGGUGAAUACGUUCCCGGGUCUUGUACACACCGCCCGUCACACCAUGGGAGCGGGUUCUGCCAGAAGUAGUUAGCCUAACCGCAAGGAGGGCGAUUACCACGGCAGGGUUCGUGACUGGGGUGAAGUCGUAACAAGGUAGCCGUAUCGGAAGGUGCGGCUGGAUCACCUCCUUUAUG